Molecule: ribosomal RNA, 497 nt
Filed under: uncultured bacterium
Lineage: Bacteria
Description: partial 16S ribosomal RNA
Rfam family: Bacterial small subunit ribosomal RNA
Source: RNAcentral
GAUGAACGCUGGCGGCGUGCCUAAUACAUGCAAGUAGAACGCUGAAGCUUGGUGCUUGCACCGAGCGGAUGAGUUGCGAACGGGUGAGUAACGCGUAGGUAACCUGCCUCUUAGCGGGGGAUAACUAUUGGAAACGAUAGCUAAUACCGCAUAAAAGUCGAUAUCGCAUGAUAUUGAUUUGAAAGGUGCAAAUGCAUCACUAAGAGAUGGACCUGCGUUGUAUUAGCUAGUUGGUGAGGUAACGGCUCACCAAGGCGACGAUACAUAGCCGACCUGAGAGGGUGAUCGGCCACACUGGGACUGAGACACGGCCCAGACUCCUACGGGAGGCAGCAGUAGGGAAUCUUCGGCAAUGGGGGCAACCCUGACCGAGCAACGCCGCGUGAGUGAAGAAGGUUUUCGGAUCGUAAAGCUCUGUUGUAAGAGAAGAACGAGUGUGAGAGUGGAAAGUUCACACUGUGACGGUAACUUACCAGAAAGAGACGGCUAACUACGUG